UACGGAGGAUCCGAGCGUUAUCCGGAUUUAUUGGGUUUAAAGGGUGCUCAGGCGGGCCAUUAAGUCGGCGGUGAAAUUUUGCGGCUCAACCGUAAAAGUGCCUUCGAUACUGGUGGUCUUGAGUGUGGAUGAGGUAGGCGGAAUUUGUGGUGUAGCGGCGAAAUGCAUAGAUAUCACGAGGAACUCCGAUUGCUAAGGCAGCUUACUAAGCCAUAACUGACGCUCAAGCACGAAGGCGUGGGGAUCAAACAGGAUUAGAUACCCGGGUAGU
RNAcentral lists this ribosomal RNA (271 nucleotides) under uncultured prokaryote. RNAcentral describes it as "partial 16S ribosomal RNA". It matches the Rfam family "Bacterial small subunit ribosomal RNA", at positions 524 to 794 of the family's 1533-position model. The record is from RNAcentral.